This 466-nucleotide ribosomal RNA is filed under the name uncultured bacterium. RNAcentral describes it as "partial 16S ribosomal RNA". It matches the Rfam family "Bacterial small subunit ribosomal RNA", at positions 28 to 507 of the family's 1533-position model. The record is from RNAcentral.
GACGAACGCUGGCGGCGUGCUUAACGCAUGCAAGUCGAACGGAAAGGCCCUGCUUGCCGGGUACUCGAGUGGCGAACGGGUGAGUAACACGUGGGUGAUCUGCCCUGCACUUCGGGAUAAGCUUGGGAAACUGGGUCUAAUACCGGAUAGGAACCAUCUUUAGUGUGGUGGUUGGAAAGUUUUUUCGGUGUAGGAUGAGCUCGCGGCCUAUCAGCUUGUUGGUGGGGUAAUGGCCUACCAAGGCGGCGACGGGUAGCCGGCCUGAGAGGGUGUACGGCCACAUUGGGACUGAGAUACGGCCCAGACUCCUACGGGAGGCAGCAGUGGGGAAUAUUGCACAAUGGGCGCAAGCCUGAUGCAGCGACGCCGCGUGGGGGAUGAAGGCCUUCGGGUUGUAAACUCCUUUCGCUAGGGACGAAGCUUUGUUGUGACGGUACCUAGAUAAGAAGCACCGGCUAACUACGUG